RNAcentral lists this transfer RNA (48 nucleotides) under Didelotia africana. Its description in RNAcentral is "partial tRNA-Phe". RNAcentral also lists the same sequence under 5 other names. The record is from RNAcentral. Lineage: Eukaryota; Viridiplantae; Streptophyta; Magnoliopsida; Fabales; Fabaceae.
UCGGGAUAGCUCAGCUGGUAGAGCAGAGGACUGAAAAUCCUCCGUGCC